CAUAUGUGAUCACUUCUCUUUUGAGUCUAACACAUGCAAUCUCUUCUCUUUUAUACAGCCUCGGGUUCAAAUAAUCCCACUACCGUGUCACCGGCGGCUGAUCACAUCAACUCUUCGCCACAAUUCGGUCCUUCACCGCAGUCUGGGUGGCCACCGCUGCAGUCUCCGCCACCGCCGCAAUAGAGAUGUUGAACUUUGUGAUGUUGAGCUUGUAAUAAUAAACUUGUGAUGUUAAACUUUGUUCGAUUUGUGAUGGAUUUAUAAAAUAUAUGUGCGAUUGUUAUAUAUAAUGCAUGUUGGUGAUAUAGUUGCG
Molecule: long non-coding RNA, 313 nt
Filed under: Sorghum bicolor (sorghum)
Lineage: Eukaryota; Viridiplantae; Streptophyta; Magnoliopsida; Poales; Poaceae
Description: long non-coding RNA (SBIC_LNC012566)
Source: RNAcentral